UAGGGAAUCUUCCACAAUGGACGCAAGUCUGAUGGAGCAACGCCGCGUGAGUGAGGAAGGGUUUCGGCUCGUAAAGCUCUGUUGUUAAAGAAGAACGUGGGUAAGAGUAACUGUUUACCCAGUGACGGUAUUUAACCAGAAAGCCACGGCUAACUACGUGCCAA
This 164-nucleotide ribosomal RNA is filed under the name uncultured bacterium. RNAcentral's name for it is "partial 16S ribosomal RNA". It matches the Rfam family "Bacterial small subunit ribosomal RNA", at positions 355 to 511 of the family's 1533-position model. The record is from RNAcentral.